AGCAUAUCAAUAAGCGGAGGAAAAGAAACUAACAAGGAUUCCCCUAGUAACUGCGAGUGAAGCGGGAAAAGCUCAAAUUUAAAAUCUGGCAGUCUCUGAUUGUCUGAGUUGUAAUUUAGAGAAGUGUUACCCGUGCUGGACCGUGUAUAAGUCUUCUGGAAUGGAGCGUCAUAGAGGGUGAGAAUCCCGUCUUUAACAUGGACUACCAGUGCAUUGUGGUAUGCUCUCAACGAGUCGAGUUGUUUGGGAAUGCAGCUCAAAAUGGGUGGUAAAUUCCAUCUAAAGCUAAAUACAGACGAGAGACCGAUAGCGAACAAGUACCGUGAGGGAAAGAUGAAAAGAACUUUGGAAAGAGAGUUAAACAGUACGUGAAAUUGCUGAAAGGGAAACGCUUGAAGUUAGUCACAUUGGCUUGAGAUCAACCUGGCAUUGCUUGGUGUAUUCUCUUGUUAAUGGGUCAACAUCAGUUUUGACUACUGGAUAAGAGUUGGAGGAAUGUGGCUCCUUUAGGAGUGUUAUAGCCUUUAGCUGUAUACAGUGGUUGGGACUGAGGAUCUCAGCACGCCUUUAUGGCCGGGUUUUGACCACGUACGUGCUUAGGAUGUUGGCAUAAUAGCUUUAAGCGACCCGUCU
Molecule: ribosomal RNA, 633 nt
Filed under: uncultured fungus
Lineage: Eukaryota; Fungi
Description: eukaryotic LSU rRNA
Rfam family: Eukaryotic large subunit ribosomal RNA
Source: RNAcentral